GAGUUUGAUCCUGGCUCAGAACGAACGCUGGCGGCAGGCCUAACACAUGCAAGUCGAGCGCGAAAACACUUCUUUGUGAGUAAAGCGGCAGACGGGUGAGUAAUGCUUGGCGAAUCUGCCCAAAAGUCGGGGGAUAACGUGGGGAAACGCACGCAAAUACCGUAUACGUCCUACGGGAGAAAGCAGGUGAUCUUCCGACCUUGCGCUAUUGGAUGAGCCCAAGUCAGAUUAUCUAGUUGGUGGGGUAAUGGCCUAACUUGGCAACAAUACCUACCUGGUCUGAAAUGAUGAUCAGCCACACUGGGACUGAGACACGGCCCAGACUCCUACUGGAGGCAGCAGUGGAGAAUAUUGCACAAUGGGCGAAAGCCUGAUGCAGGCCUGCCGCGUGUGUGAAUAAUGCUCUAGGGUAUGAAAAGCACUUUCACUAGGGAGGAAAAGCUUAGGGUUAAUAACCUUGAGCCCUGACGUUACCUACAGAACAAGCACCGGCUAACUCCGUGCUCGGCAUCCGCGAGUAAUACAGAUGGUGCAAGCGUUAAUCGGAAUUAUCUGGGCAGUAAAGCUCGCGUACGUGGCUUGAUAAUCUAUCUGCGAAAGCCCCGGGCAUCACCUGGAAACUGCAGUUAGAACUGUCUGACUAGAGUACAGUAGAGGUGGCGGAAUUACAUGUGAAUCGGUGAAAUGCGUAGAUAUAUGAAGGAUCAUCAGUAGCGAAGGCGGCCACAUGGCAUGAUUCUGACACUGAGGUGCCAAAGUGUGACGAGCAAACAGGAUUAGAUACCGUGGUAGUCCACUCCGUAAACGAUGUCUACUAGCCGUUGGGGGACUUGAUCCUUUAGUGGCGAAGCUAACGCGAUAAGUAGACCGCCUGGGGAGUACGGUAGCAAGAUUAAAACUCAAAUGAAUUGACGGGGGCCCGCACAAGCGGUGGAGCAUGUGGUUUAAUUCGACGCAACGCGAAAAACCUUACGUGGUCUUGACAUCCUGCGAACUUUCUAGAGAUAGAUUGGUGCUUUCGGGAACGCAGUGACAGGUGCUGCAUGCCGGUCGUCAGCUCGUGUCGUGAGAUGUUGGGUUAAGUCCCGUAACGAGCGCAACCCUUGUCCUUAUUCGUCAGCACAUAAUGGUGGGAACUAUAAGGAGACUGCCGGUGACAAACCGGAGGAAGGUGGGGACGACGUCAAGUCAUCAUGGCCUCUUAUGACCACGGCUACACACGUGCUACAAUGGAGCGUCCAGAGGGUUGCUAACCCGCGAGGUGGAGCCAAUCCCAGAAAACGUUUGGUAGUCCGGAUCGAAGUCUGCAACUCUACUUCGUGAAGUCGGAAUCGCUAGUAAUCGCGAAUCAUCAUGUCGCGGUGAAUCCGUUCCCGGGCUUUGUACACUCCGCUCCGUCACACCAUGGGAGUGGGUUGCAAAAGAAUGUGGCUAGUCUACCCUUCGGGAGGCCGGUUACCACUUUGUGAUUUAUGACUGGGGUGAAGUCGUAACAAGGUAACC
This 1503-nucleotide ribosomal RNA is filed under the name uncultured marine bacterium. RNAcentral's name for it is "16S ribosomal RNA". It matches the Rfam family "Bacterial small subunit ribosomal RNA". The record is from RNAcentral.